AACGAACGCUGGCGGCGUGCUUAACACAUGCAAGUCGAGCGAUGAAGUUCCUUCGGGAAUGGAUUAGCGGCGGACGGGUGAGUAACACGUGGGUAACCUGCCUCAUAGAGGGGAAUAGCCUUUCGAAAGGAAGAUUAAUACCGCAUAAGAUUGUAGUAUCGCAUGAUACAGCAAUUAAAGGAGUAAUCCGCUAUGAGAUGGACCCGCGUCGCAUUAGCUAGUUGGUGAGGUAACGGCUCACCAAGGCGACGAUGCGUAGCCGACCUGAGAGGGUGAUCGGGCACAUUUGGACUGGGACACGGCCCAGACUCCUACGGGAGGCAGCAGUGGGGAAUAUUGCACAAUGGGGGAAACCCUGAUGCAGCAACGCCGCGUGAGUGAUGACGGUCUUCGGAUUGUAAAACUCUGUCUUCAGGGACGAUAAUGACGGUACCUGAGGAGGAAGCCACGGCUAACUACGUGCCAGCAGCCGCCGUAA
This 478-nucleotide ribosomal RNA is filed under the name uncultured bacterium. RNAcentral describes it as "partial 16S ribosomal RNA". It matches the Rfam family "Bacterial small subunit ribosomal RNA", at positions 29 to 523 of the family's 1533-position model. The record is from RNAcentral.